Molecule: ribosomal RNA, 482 nt
Filed under: Limosilactobacillus reuteri
Lineage: Bacteria; Bacillati; Bacillota; Bacilli; Lactobacillales; Lactobacillaceae
Description: bacterial LSU rRNA
Rfam family: Bacterial large subunit ribosomal RNA
Source: RNAcentral
UUAGGUUAAGUUAUGAAGGGCGCAUGGUGAAUGCCUUGGUACUAGGAGCCGAUGAAGGACGGGACUAACACCGAUAUGCUUCGGGGAGCGGUAAGUACGCUUUGAUCCGGAGAUUUCCGAAUGGGGCAACCCAAUCAGCUUAGUCGCUGAUUACUUGACUAGUGAAUACAUAGCUAGCAAGAGGUAGACGCAGUGAACUGAAACAUCUUAGUAGCUGCAGGAAGAGAAAGAAACAUCGAUUCCCUGAGUAGCGGCGAGCGAAAAGGGAAGAGCCCAAACCAACAAGCUUGCUUGUUGGGGUUGUAGGACUGAACAUUAGAGUUACCAAAGUGCGACGUAGUCGCAACAGUUGGGAAGCUGUGCCAUAGAGGGUGAAAGCCCCGUAGACGAAACGUCACACUCUCUGUUCAGGAUCCUGAGUACGGCGGGACACGUGAAACCCCGUCGGAACCCCCCAGGACCCUCUCGCAAAGGCCAAUACU